RNAcentral lists this ribosomal RNA (482 nucleotides) under uncultured bacterium. Its description in RNAcentral is "partial 16S ribosomal RNA". It matches the Rfam family "Bacterial small subunit ribosomal RNA", at positions 30 to 507 of the family's 1533-position model. The record is from RNAcentral.
AUUGAACGCUGGCGGCAUGCUUUACACAUGCAAGUCGAACGGUAACAGGCCGCAAGGUGCUGACGAGUGGCGAACGGGUGAGUAAUGCAUCGGAACGUGCCCAGUCGUUGGGGAUAACUACUCGAAAGAGUAGCUAAUACCGCAUACGAUCUAUGGAUGAAAGCGGGGGACCGUAAUGCCUCGCGCGAUUGGAGCGGCCGAUGUCAGAUUAGUUAGUUGGUGGGGUAAAGGCUCACCAAGCCAACGAUCUGUAGCUGGUCUGAGAGGACGACCAGCCACACUGGGACUGAGACACGGCCCAGACUCCUACGGGAGGCAGCAGUGGGGAAUUUUGGACAAUGGGCGCAAGCCUGAUCCAGCAAUGCCGCGUGCAGGAAGAAGGCCUUCGGGUUGUAAACUGCUUUUGUACGGAACGAAACGGCUCUGGUUAAUACCCGGGGCUAAUGACGGUACCGUAAGAAUAAGCACCGGCUAACUACGUG